AUACGGAGGGGGCAAGCGUUGUUCGGAAUUACUGGGCGUAAAGGGCGCGUAGGCGGAUUAUCAAGUCAGAGGUGAAAGCCCUGGGCUCAACCUGGGAACUGCCUUUGAAACUGAUAGUCUUGAGGCCGGAAGAGGAUGGCGGAAUUCCCAGUGUAGAGGUGAAAUUCGUAGAUAUUGGGAAGAACACCAGUGGCGAAGGCGGCCAUCUGGUCCGGUUCUGACGCUGAGGCGCGAAAGCGUGGGGAGCAAACAGGAUUAGAAACCCCAGUAGUCC
This 274-nucleotide ribosomal RNA is filed under the name uncultured bacterium. Its description in RNAcentral is "partial 16S ribosomal RNA". It matches the Rfam family "Bacterial small subunit ribosomal RNA", at positions 523 to 796 of the family's 1533-position model. The record is from RNAcentral.